Molecule: long non-coding RNA, 987 nt
Filed under: Scleropages formosus (Asian bonytongue)
Lineage: Eukaryota; Metazoa; Chordata; Actinopteri; Osteoglossiformes; Osteoglossidae
Description: lncRNA (ENSSFOG00015029397.1)
Source: RNAcentral
CGAUAUGAAGCCCAGUGUUACUGUACCAAGCAGUAAACAGCACCCAAAUUACCAUGUGGAGAUGACAUACCAUGUGUCACAUAUACAGCGUUUUACCCGUUUGCACAGCUCUCUGCGUGGGAGAAACAGACACCAGAAGCCGCACACACACAGAAGGGGGUCUGGAACAUUGUGUGUGUAGACACGCAGUUCAGGUGUUAAUGUGAACUGGUGCAUCUAAUUGCUUCAGCCUGAGCCCCCUGAGCCCUGGGAUGGGGAUUCAGGAAGGGGGGGAGGUGCUGGGCGAGCGGUGAGGACAGGAUGGGAAGAGGAGGUGCUGAGAAUGGUAAUACCAUCCCCGACUCACCCGCUCUCCCUCCCCCAGCUGCACUGCAGAAGUCGUAGCCGAGGCCUCCGCCAUGCUGUCACGUGAGCGGGACGGCGAUGACGUCACCGCUCCCCGGAUGAGCCGUCAGCCCGCUGCGGUUGCCAUAGCGACUGCGGCCAGUGGUGCGGAGACCGGGGAUGAGCCUUGCGGAGGGGGUGCGGCGACAAACUGUCAGCCCUCCAGCCUGGGCUGCCGGCGGUCCAGCCUGGAUGUGGCGUACGAGGCGGCCGAGUCGGUGAGAGUGCAGCGCGCCUGUCGCCUCCGCCCCCACUUCAGCGACCCGAUGCCCACCGACGGCGCCAAGCGCAAGCAGCUGGAGCUGAAGAUGGCAGCAGCGGCCGCCUUCCUCCAUCGGCAGCAGAGGACUGGGAGCGGCUCUGGCAAGAGCCGCUCGGAGACCACCGUGGGGGCCGAGGAUGUGGCUCUGGGCGUCGUGGCCAAGACGGGGCAGCACCGCUGGAGCAACGUGAGCAGCCUGAGUGCGGACAGCGGGGUGGUGGGGCUCAGCGACGAGCGCGAGGAGGACGAAGUGCACCGGCAGAACCACUCGGCAACUUCCGAGGUGGAACGUGUGGACAGCGGCAUUGGCUCUGGACUGGCCCGGCACUGGGGGCCACCGG